RNAcentral lists this ribosomal RNA (253 nucleotides) under uncultured bacterium. Its description in RNAcentral is "partial 16S ribosomal RNA". It matches the Rfam family "Bacterial small subunit ribosomal RNA", at positions 524 to 776 of the family's 1533-position model. The record is from RNAcentral.
UACGAGAGGCGCAAACGUUAUUCGGAAUUACUGGGCUUAAAGAGUUCGUAGGCGGCGCGGAAAGUGGGGUGUGAAAGCCCUCGGCUCAACCGAGGAAUUGCGCUCCAAACUACCGUGCUUGAGGAAGCUAGAGGUGAGCGGAACUGAUGGUGGAGCGGUGAAAUGCGUUGAUAUCAUCAGGAACACCGGAGGCGAAGGCGGCUCACUGGGGCUUUUCUGACGCUGAGGAACGAAAGCCAGGGGAGCGAACGGG